CAAGAAUUAUCCUUUAGCUAAAUAACAGUUUAUGUUGAGGCAAUCUACCAAUGGUUAAGAGGAUCUUUUGUCGUUAUCAGAAUUCAGUCAUUCCAUGGAGAGACUGAAACUCCUUUUGGUUGGAAAAUUAUAUAUUGUAUGAAUGCAAAUUUCACAUUUAUGGAAAGCCUUCCAUGAUACAUUCUGCAUCUUAAGAAAGAAGCUUGACACCACUCAACUCCCCAUAAACAGUUUGAUUUAAGUCUUCUCAUGAUAGACAGCUCCCUCAAGAGAAAAAGAGAACAUGUUACAACUCGAUACUAGAAACAAAAGCAUUUAACUCGGCAGUCAGAGCAAUCUCAACUCCAAACAUUGGAGGAGCGGGGAGCUUUCUAAAUCACCAUGCUUACUAUGAUUCCAAUUUCUUCACCUGACGAUAGUCAAAAAGCAUAAGCACCAAUUGACUCACAUGAAAAAG
RNAcentral lists this unclassified non-coding RNA (457 nucleotides) under Hevea brasiliensis (rubber tree). The record is from RNAcentral. Lineage: Eukaryota; Viridiplantae; Streptophyta; Magnoliopsida; Malpighiales; Euphorbiaceae.